GCCAAAAUAGCUCAGUUGGGAGAGAUUUAUUCUGAAGAUUUAAAGGUCCCUGGUUUGAUCCCUUGUUUCGGCA
Molecule: transfer RNA, 73 nt
Filed under: Perca fluviatilis (European perch)
Lineage: Eukaryota; Metazoa; Chordata; Actinopteri; Perciformes; Percidae
Description: tRNA-Phe
Source: RNAcentral